AGAUUGAACGCUGGCGGCAUGCCUUACAAAUGCAAGUCGAACGGCAGCACGGGAGCAAUCCUGGUGGCGAGUGGCGAACGGGUGAGUAAUACAUCGGAACGUGCCUAGUAGUGGGGGGACUAGCCCGGCGAAAGCCGGAUUAAUACCGCAUACGACCUACGGGUGAAAGCGGGGGAUCGCAAGACCUCGCGCUAUUGGAGCGGCUGAUGUCAGAUUAGGUAGUUGGUAGGUAAAAGCCUACCAAGCCGACGAUCUGUAGCUGGUCUGAGAGGACGACCAGCCACACUGGGACUGAGACACGGCCCAGACUCCUACGGGAGGCAGCAGUGGGGAAUUUUGGACAAUGGGCGCAAGCCUGAUCCAGCCAUGCCGCGUGCGGGAAGAAGGCCUUCGGUGUAACCGCUUUGUCGAGGAAGAACGACACUGGCCGAAUAGUCCCGGUGUAAUGAACGGUACCGUGAAGAAUAAGACGAACCGGUCGUAACCUACGU
RNAcentral lists this ribosomal RNA (491 nucleotides) under uncultured soil bacterium. Its description in RNAcentral is "bacterial SSU rRNA". It matches the Rfam family "Bacterial small subunit ribosomal RNA", at positions 26 to 518 of the family's 1533-position model. The record is from RNAcentral.